CUAGCUUCUAAUACGGGCGAUACACUUUUUUCCCUUACAGGCGAAUGUAAUUAUAAUGUGAUAGACGAUCCAUGUUAUAGACGAACAGUUUUUACCAAACUUAAAUCCUGAUUCCCACGCUCGUUCUUUUUACGAGGCGCGAAGAUACCGGGUGCGCGGAAUUGUACCGCGAGCGUGAUCCCGAUACAAUCUACUAUUGUAAUUAUUAUUGACGCAACCUGCACAACCAUAUUGACUGCGUCCGUGAUUGCAGCAGUCUCAAUGACACGAAUAUGAAUCAAGGAAUGUCAAGAUUGCCAAGGAGUACUUGGCGAGUUGGGUGCAACCUAGUGCAAUUGCGAACAGUUGCGAUGGCGAUGAUUGUGGAUGGUCUCUAUGGGAUAGUCGCGAGUGUAACGUGACGUUUACUUGGUUUAUCACCUCACGUCAGCUGACUGGCUCAGACUGGCCUAAUCAGAUCUGAUUGUUAAGUCAAAGACGGAUCGACGCCAAUGUUACAAUCAAAAUAUUAGAUACGUGCUUUGCAAUAUUAAUCGAUUAAUCAUGCACGAAUUUCAUUCGUAAAUCCCUGAUACGUGUGUGACCCUGUGUUAUCGGAUUACGGCUUCGAAUUAUGGGAGUGUACGGCUUGUGGAAAUUGCUCGAAGCAUC
Pogonomyrmex barbatus (red harvester ant) is the source of this 651-nucleotide long non-coding RNA. Lineage: Eukaryota; Metazoa; Arthropoda; Insecta; Hymenoptera; Formicidae. The record is from RefSeq and is a predicted model, not a curated record.